This is an RNA transcript of Alligator sinensis (Chinese alligator), 8626 nucleotides long. It is a transcript of the gene named polycomb group ring finger 5, with no coding region annotated. The record is from RefSeq and is a predicted model, not a curated record. The transcript is spliced from 10 exons. NCBI's taxonomy places the organism in Eukaryota, Metazoa, Chordata, Crocodylia, Alligatoridae.
CCGCGAGCGGCGCAGCAGCCCUGGUGAAGCCUGGCCCGACGCUGCCUCCCGGCCCGCCCGCCCCACGGAUGGCUGCGCAGAGGAAGCACUUGGUGAAAGACUUCAACCCCCACAUCACCUGUUACAUCUGCAAAGGCUAUCUCAUCAAGCCCACCACCGUCACCGAGUGCCUCCACACCUUUUGUAAGACUUGUAUUGUUCAGCACUUUGAAGACAGUAAUGAUUGCCCCAGAUGUGGCAAUCAGGUGCACGAGACCAAUCCAUUAGAAAUGUUAAGGCUAGAUAACACAUUAGAAGAAAUUAUAUUCAAACUGGUGCCCGGACUUCGAGAACAGGAACUACAGCGUGAGAUCGAAUUUUGGAGGAAAAACAAACCUCAAGAAAAUGGACAAGAUGAAAAUCCAAAAUCUGAUAAGCCCAAAGUAGAUGAAGAGGGUGAUGAAAAUCAGGAAGAUAAAGACUAUCAUAGGAGUGACCCACAGAUUGCUAUUUGCCUGGAUUGUUUACGUAACAAUGGACAGUCAGGGGAUAACGUAGUGAAAGGUUUAAUGAAGAAAUUCAUCCGUUGUUCUACACGAGUGACUGUGGGAACUAUCAAAAAGUUUCUCAGUUUAAAAUUAAAACUUCCAAGUUCUUAUGAGCUGGAUGUACUAUGCAAUGGAGAAAUCAUGGGGAAGGAUCAUACUAUGGAAUUCAUCUAUAUGACAAGAUGGAGACUCAGAGGAGAAAAUUUUCGGUGUCAGAACUGCUCAUCUUCGCAAGUCUGCUCACAGGAUGGCACUUUUUAUCAGUCUUAUCCUAUGGUACUGCAGUAUCGACCCAGAAUUGACUUCGGCUAGACCAAAGGUCCAGACCACACUGAGAUGAAUUCUGCACUAUUGUUUACCCAUCGACAGAUUGCACAAUGAAUGGAUGUGCCUGGAUUAGGGGGACACAACCAGAUUUUCAGCAUGCAAAUAAGAACCUUGUCUUUCUUAAAAUUGUCAGUUGCAUCUUUGUUGUUUCUAUUAGAGCAAGCCAAGUGCCAUUCUGCUACUGAAAUGUGCAUAAGAUAUUUGUGGUAUCUUACAAGUGUGCUGCAAGUCAUAGCCAAAAUCAUGAAGUGUGCAGUCAAGAUUCAGAAACUACAGAAUAUUUUUCCCAUGUGUUAGAAAAAGUUUCUGGUCUUCAUGUUGAUUACACUAGCAAAAUGGCCAAGUGCUCAUUCCAUGUCGUGUUGCAAUUUUCACACAAUUACUAUUUUACUGAAUAUUGUUGUAUAAAUGAUAGAGUACUGUACAAAAAAUUAAGGAUUAUAUCUUGAAAUAUUUUGUAUAGAAAAUAUAUUUAGAAAAGUGGUUAUUGUGCCACUACCUUUCUCUUGGUAAGCUUCUGAUAGGUCCAGGUAUAGUUCACUCAUGAGUGUGCAGCAGUCCUUUUGCUAUGAAUGAUGUGUACCCCAGGCACAAGAGCAGAAUGCAGUAAUUAAAAAGCCUAAAUAGUGUGCCAGUAUCUCUUAAAAACUUCAUAACCUUUGAAUACACAUUUUUACAACUUGUCUAGAAUUGACAAUUUGAGAUGCAGGUAUUUUAGGAUAAUGGAAGCUGGCCAGAUUAUGGUUCUUCUAAUAAAGUGUUUGUAAAAGUGAGGUUAAAAAUCAUUUAAAUACUAAAUGGAAAAGUAGCAUUUUCUCUGUAAGGUCAUCCCACAUAUCAAAAUGUAUUUAUUUUUGUCAGUGGCAUUCAUAUUCAGGAAUUCUUUCUUUUUUUUAAGGUGUAUCUACAUCAGACAUAUAUGUAAAAAGAAUACAAAGUGACAUAUUUCAAAACAUAGCUUUGAUUAUAUUAAAUGUCUGUUGUGGUUACAUGGAGUUUAGAAGCUAUUGAAGAUGUAUAUAAUUAGUUACAGUCAUAAAGCUAAUUUCAUAAUAACAAAAGGCAAUACAGUAUUGGAAGAUAAACAGUUUGACCAAAAUAAUUGGUUUUCCAGGGUAAUUUUCCCUAGGAACUAGUAUCACAAUGUAAUAGUUCUAGUGUAGAACAUUGUAUUGAGGUUUCUGGUAACAUUGCUGGGAACAGUAUUGCAUAUGUUUUCUGUAGUCUUCCAUUGUUUUAGCUCUGUUUAAAAGUCAUAAUGGCUUUUUUACUUUAAACUGCAGAGAAAAAUACAGUUAAGUAACGUUGUAUGUUUUAGCUACAAGUAUUGUAGAUUACCACUUAUUUUCUUGCAUAAAACAAGAAGGAGCGAGAGGCUUUCAGAAGUUGCCACAGGUUGAGUUAAUCAUGCUUAGAAAAAAGCAAACAAUAAUAAAAACCCCAACUCAAGAAACAUGGGAUCAGAGUAUUUAAGGUGAUAGGAUAUAGGUUCUAUAGAAAUGCAGUCUCAGUGUUGUUUAAAUAUGUAACACAUGUAAACGCAUUAUGCGUGAAAUCCUGGCCCCACUGAAGUUGUCAGUUUUAAGAAGGACCAGGAUUUCACCUGUGUGUACACAUUGGGUCAUAUCCUACCUUUGUAUUCCAAAAGUCGUAUAGCAAACAGGAGCAAAAAUGCAUAGCAGGUAGCAUUCUGUCUAGCAAUCUUACCAUUACAGGUCAAGAUUGCCCUAUUGUGCUAAUGCAUUGUAGCAGAAGGAAGCAGGCUGCUUUCAUCUGUAGGCACAUGUUGAUUAUAGGGCUUGCUUUGCCCAUGCUGUUGACAGAGCUGAUAAAACGUUCCUCAUAGGUGGGCCCCUGUCCUCUGUGGACAAGUGGAUUCUUCACAAGCACAUUACUUUUCUAGCUGGAUCUGUUUGCAGGAUCAGGGUCUAAAUGCACCUUACAAUUUAUAUAUAGUAUUUUUACACCAGGAGUAUUUCUGUUAUGGCUUCACUUGAAAAUGAAGGAUUUGGUUUCAGUUCCUGUCCAAUAUUACUAAUGGUAAUAUUUUUAAUGUUAAUUUUUAUUUGGUUUAGGUAACAGUUUAGCAAUGUACUUCCUAUUUUGGCAAAUUCUCAACCACCCAUUGAGAUUUUUUUUAUCAGAAAAACAGCACUCAAGUUACCAUUUUAAAUCCAUUUUCAAACAUUUUACAUAGCUAAGAUUUUUUUCAUUAAAUCAGCAAAUUCAUAUAAAAUAUAGUAUGACCACUGAAAUGUCUUACUGUAUUGUGAAGGACUGUGAGUCACAACCAAUAAGGGGUUGGAUGUUUAUAAUGACUUCCAGCAUUCCAAGUUCAGUGAGCCAUAGAUUUAGCUUGCUCUGAGUUGGUAAUUGCCUUAUUUUAUAAUACGUUUAAUCCAACACAGAUUGGAGUAAAGGAGGCAGAUCUUCACAGUAAGCAUGGAAACUACUGACAGGCAUAGUUUUAUUGUUCCCAGUUGAGAAUUGCUGCCUUCACUGCUUAUGAAUAUAUAUGAUUUAGCUGCCUACACGUAAAUGUUUCUGAUGGCAUAGUGCCCAAUUGGUUAAAUACUUCUUCUAGGAGUGAGGUGCCAACCAGAUGCAUAUCAUGCAGCCAGUAUAACAUAAGUGUGACUUCUGCAGGAAAUUUCUUUUUUCUGUAUGGAACAUAGAUGCCAUGUGUAUGCACAUGUGUAUAUUUGAUUAUCCCUGUUGACACAUUUGUGCCAAUUAAAUAUAUACAAACCCUGUAGAAAUAAGAGAACUUGUGUACAGACUCAUAUUCCAAAGAUGAGUUAUAAUGAAGUGAGCGCAUGAGUAUUCCGUGAAAAUCACACAAGGGGUGCAUAGACACGUACUAAUUGGGUUUAAGGUGACUUAACUAAGUCACUUAAGCCAAGUCAGAGCAUACAGAUGUACAGCUCCUUGACAUGAUGGCAGCCAUCUUGUGAGCUAAGUUGACUUAACUAAUGCAACUCAAGAUAAUACACCUUGGAAGCUUAUUAUUAUGCAAUUCAUUUAAGUCAACUCUGCUCCAUACACAUGUAUACACUCUAACAGUUAAGUUGACUUAAAGUUAAGUCAGCUUAACUGUCAGAAAGUUAGUACGUAUGUAUGUACCUAAUGUGUCCAAGAAAAUCAGGAAACUACCAUGUAUGCAUUUGAUAGGGAUAUUUCCAUUGCUAGCAGUGUCGUCACUGCAGAGUCAGGAAAGAAACAUAUAAUAGCUGAAAAUGAGCAAAUUACCCAUAUUGCAUUAAUUGAGCCACAGGGGAAUACGAACUAGAAUUUACUAGUUGUUCUACCUUUUAAUUAUUCAGGAAAGAUUCUUUUCUCUUUCAAACGAGUGUCUACAAGGUUUUAACCUUCUACAUCCAGGUUAGCCACCUAAUAAAAAUCAAACCUUUUGUUUGACUAGAGAUCUGUAUGCAGUAUUUGUCUAGUAACAUAUGUAUUGUAAGUUAAGAGUUUGCAGAAUAGUAAGAUCUCAAAUGCAGAUAUAAUACAAUUAAAUUAGAUUAGUCUAAUGCAUAUUCCAUAUUGUACUAGUACAGUGCCCCAACACCAUGUCCAACCUUACAGUCUAACAAACACAUGGGUAGUUCCUACCUGUCUAAAUAACCACUCAGUCUUUAUGACUUAUUAGUACAAUAAGGGGUAUUCCCAUGAAUAUUUUCAGGAUAAAGUCCUAAAAUUAUGUCAAACUUAAUGUAAGUGUGCUCAGCUAGGACAUAAUUACUGUCUAAUUAAAAUCAAAAUGUGAUUACAGUCUUUUCUAAAAUAUUAAUUUUAUAUUGUUGACUCUUAUGGUCUUAUGGAAAAUGUUAUAAGAAAGUGCCUGAUUGCUGAUACAGCAUAUCUUUUAGACCAACAUCCUACAUUUUGAAUGAGAACAUUUGUUUUUGUGUGUUAAUGAAUUAUUUCAGCAAAAGUUUUUCUUCACAGAAUUAUAGAAGGAUCUUCCUCGUGACACAAGUAUGAAAGAAAUAUAUUCUGUUAUUAGGCAAUAUAAAUACUGUAGAAAUAUAUUACUAGAGACUAUUUAAAAAGGAUGACUCUGAGACUCUAUUAAUCUUAUUUUCUGCCAGGUAGUAACCUUGAAUUCUGGAUCCUGCGUUUUUCCUUUAGUCUGACACUUUUUGGCUGUACUGCUCUUCCUUUUACAUGCGAAGUAUAAUUCAGUCCUAGCUAAUGCUGUGGGGAGUUUGUUGUUCUCCUUUUGGACUUUGGCUAUAUUUUCUUUGUUCAGCACAGAUGAAGAUGCAGUUCAGGACUUCCACCUUAUCCAUUCCAGUUGUAGCUGUUAAACCUGGAAUUGAGAAAGCAGCAAGUAAUUUUUCUCUUGAUCUCUCUUCUCUCAUAGGAAACCAAAAUGUGCAGGUCUUUGCUCUCUAGAUAGAACCAUUUGUUGAGUUCCUUUGUUCCAUUUGCAUUCAACUUCCCCUUCAUCACAAAAGUCAAGGUACUCCAGUUAGGAGCUACAGAAGGAUAUUCCAUGUGGUGUCCUCAAAAGCCAUAACAGCCAGCUCAGCCAGACUGUAAUUGAUUUAGGUUCCAGAUAAGCAAUAAUCUUCUGAUUCUCAAAAUUACAUGCAUGGAAUUUUGCAUUAAGAAAUGUCUAGGUGAGGUAUUAGCUGAUUACAGGGAUUAACCAAAGUAUUCUAAGGACUGGUGAGUCCUUUUUAUUUUUGCCCACAACAAAGAUAUUAGAGAAUGGACUCUUUUUUUUAAUUUGUGAGCUAAGAGGGAAAUGGGUCUAAAUCCUCCUUAUAGACCAGUUAGCUAGUUUGACAGUAAUAGUUUGAUUCCUUCCAAAUUAGUGGUGAUGUGCAGGAUAUUUUCCUUUCUAGCUACUUCAUUCUCAAUGUUAAGGAGUCCAGACAAAAAUUUCUAUUCCUCAGAAUAGGCUGGAUUCUCUAGAUCUUUUUCUUAUUUCAGGCCUCAAGAAAAUGAACAGGUAUACAAAAAAGAUAAAAUUUGGGUAGAAGGAUUCUUGAUGGCAUCUCAAAUUGUAAGUUGGAUGCAACCUUGCCAGCUUGGAAAAGUUCAGGCACUGACCUUCUAACUCCAAAGAACACAUUAUGAUGUAUCCAGCUUCACAUGCAAUCAAUGGGUCUUCUGGUCUUAUGUAUACAGACUUUCAUGAACAAGACUGAACAAAAUAGUUUAAAGGAUUUCUACUAGCAGUCUGGAGCUAUUCACAAUAAGAGAUGCAAAGGUACCUACAGAGUGAUUUAGUCUCUUGUUUAGUUGUGAUGGAAGCCCCUGUAACAAUAGAACCUCCUCCUGCAAUCUUGAGUGUAAAAUUUUAAAGGCCUGCCUUAGGGAGUUGCACCUGGAGAACCACCAAGUUGUCUCUAAUGCAAGUUUUAGUUCAGUCUGGCAACACCAUGAUUGACACACAUUUACAUGCGACUAGUUAGAAGAUCAAAUCUAGAUGCUGAAGUAAAGCAGCUUCUCUCCUGGGACUAAACUAAUUUCUUCUGCAUUGCAAUAAACCACAUAAGGUCUGUCCUAUGAUCUUUUAAAAUUUAGUCCUUUGAACCAAUGGUAUCUACUUCCCUAUAUUUCCUUCCUGUAAGAUUAUUCUUUCUGAUUGCAUCGUAUUAGCUGGAAGAGGCUCAAGAAAAUCUUUGUAAGAAGACAGACCUUACUGCAUUGUUUAUGAGAGCAAAAUAGUUCUUUCUGCUCUGAAGUCUGUCUUGAAUAAGACUAGCCCAUCCAUGACUCAAAUGAUCAUUCUUUAUUUGUUUUGUCCAAAAGCUUCAACAUUUGGAGGAGAAAGCAUGAUGGAACAUUCUAAAUAUGGGAAGAGUGGUAAAAGUAUACCUUGGUAUGAACAAGAAAUCAGGUGACAAUCAAGAGAAAAUGGUUCAGUAAAAUUGCUGCAAAGAUAAAACAUAUAUGAUGCUGGCUAUGUACAGAGGUUGGUAUUUUUAAAAAAGGAUAGCAAAAAUGUUUACUGUCAAAGUGAGAGGUAUAUAUUUUGUGAUGGUAGAUUAUUCCUUAAAACUGUUUUGUAUUAUAAUGUAUGAUUACUAAUGUAGGCAGUUGCUGAGGGAUUUUGGUUGAGUAGAAUGAGAGUUGCUCUCUUUUCUUAUGAAAAACUACAUUCUAACUGACUUAAAAAUCACUCUUUGCUUCUGACUGACAAAAUUUAGUUUACUCACAAAGAUUUUUUUAAGUAUUUUUAUAAAAAAUAAUCUGAUUGCCUAAUCGUUUUAAGAGCCUUUUUAUUACCAAAAAUUAUCCAUCCAGAAACUGACUGGAGCAAAGCAUUUUGGCACUUUUUUGAAGAGUAUAGUUGUUAUCUGCCUAGUGAAUUAAUGCAUCUUACAUUAAUCAAAUAUAUCUUACUGGUAAGUAGCUGCGCAUGUCACCAAACUACAUCUGUCAGUUUUGUGGGGUUUUUUAAUAAUAGAUUAUGGGAAUUAGUGUAAGGAUUUCAUUACCAGUCCAUGGAUAAAAAGAGUGGCUCUUGGAGGUCAUGGUUAACGUCCAUUAAUGAGAAAAAGCGCAGAGGCUUGCACAACUGAUGUGUCUGCUAUACCUGGCCUAUGAAUUAAUAAAAUACUUCAGCGUGCUGUCUAUCUUGUAAACCUUCCAAAGCACAAAAUAUUCACCAAGCUACUUUUGGGUUUUCUGGUUGUAGUUCAGUGUAUUUUGGAGGGUGGAAAGGGCAGACUUGGAGGAUCAUGAGAAACAUAAUACAUUUUACAGAUUUUUAUAGCUAUUUUUUUAAUAAAUGGCAUUGCUUUCCAUAACAUCAAAUUACUGAUUAGCACAAACAUCAAAGAUAUUUUAUCUGUUGUGUGGUAUAAAUUAAAUAUGAUUAAGCUCUUUCUUUUCUUUUCCAGAAGAGUCCUAAACUAAAUUAGAAAGCAACAGUACAGUUAUUUAAGGGAUUCUUAAAUCUGCCAAUGUAAAAAAUUGCAAUAAAUCUUCAUUCCUAUUUUUUUCUAGAAUAGAAACUUCCUGGAAUAAGCAUUUAGCAAUGCAUAAUUUUAAUUGUUCCCCCUAUUAUAAAGUCAGCCAUUAGAAAAUAUUUUGCAUUUUUUUAAAUCAGUUUAAAGCUUGAAUUGUCAAAUUUUCUAGGUUACUGAAUAGUCAGUAUAGUACUCUAAAUGGGAUUUUGUUUGGAUGGGGCUUAAGUGUCCUUAUAUAAGCUGUGAUCCAAGUAAUGGUAAGAAAGACGGUAACUAUGUUCUAAGGCUUCCUUGCAUCUGGUCAGUGGCUAUCAGUUUUUAAUAUAACAGCCCUCACAAUGCUUAAGAGAUCAUAGAACAUAUUGUAAUAUUAUGUUGCUGAUUUUCUUUUAAGAUAUAAAAUAUUUUAAGCUUUUUGUCAAAAGUGGUAACAUCUUAUUACAAAUAAACCUUUUUGUGGUUGUAAAAUUUAGCUUAUAAAUCAUUCAAAUUGAAGUGAAAAAAGAAGGUCAUUGUUAAUGACUUAGUCUAUCCUACUAUUAAGAAUAUAUGUAUUUUUGUAAAGGAAAAGCACUUGUAGAUAUUUAAUCUGUCCAAUAUCUAUGUUUAUGUUUUGAAAAAACAAAAUGCUGCUUAGAGAAUCACUUAAAUAUGUUUAUUUUUGUGCUCAAAUGCAUCCUUUGUUGAUUUAUGGAAUGUUUAUUCUGUAUAAAGAUGUAAAGUUAUUACAACUGGGCUAAAUGCAUUUUAUAUUUGGACUUAGCCAGGUCAGAUAUAUUUGGCUACAAAAUUCACUAUAUCAUCAGAAACCUGAUUACAGAAUUUAUUAUGAUGGUGCUGUUU